CCACCCUCCCACAGCGCUGGCCCUAAAAGCAUAACAGCACCGAGGCAGACGCACGCGAGAGGUCGAUCUUUCAUAUUGGCUGCCUCGUUGUUUGUUGUUGUUGAUCUCACCCGCUCCUUUAUCUUUCCUUAUCGCUCUCUGCUCCCAUGAGCGCGUCACCUUCCUCCUCGUCCACGGCCGCCGCCUCCGCCAGCCCGCAGGGCACCGUCGAAGUCCUUCUCUGUGACGGCUGUCGUUGCCCUAUUGGUUCGCUGUGGGAUGUGCUGCCGGCGGAGGAGGCGGUUCCUGUGUGGAGGGAGCAGGUGUACAGCUACGAGCUGGACCUUUUCGCCAAUGGAUCGCCGCCGAUACAGGCGUACAGCGCCACGAACCCGAGCGCGCGGCGGUUUGAUCUACUGCGCUUGGCUCCGCAUGUGACACUGCGUCUGGCCUCAACGCCUAGUGGCGAAGCUCCACCACCCGGUGCAGAUGCUUUUCGCUCGUGUAACGCCGAUACUUCGACCACCGCCGCCUCGGUCCUCGAUGCACAAAAGUGUGAAGGACCAGUGCAGGUCGAGGAGGUCUCCACAACGCAUGCGCAACCGGCGGAUGCGACAGGGACGCGCGGUGCCGCCUCCACCACGCUUCACGCGCCGUCUUUUGUGGAGUGCAACACGACCGUUUACUCCACUGAACACUCCUUCUUCGCCGGCUAUGCGUGGUGCUUCUGCAACUGCAGCAACUGCGGCGCCUUCCUGGGGUGGGGCUUUGCCGCGGUGGAUCGCCUGCGCGCCGCGCGACGCCUUCAUCGGGGCAGCAAGAGCGGCGGCGUGUCAGAGAACGGUGAUGUCGGCCGGGCACGCAAGAAGGGGGCGCGCCAGGAGGAAGAGGUGAGAAAAGCCGAGACGGACACUGCCACAGCCGCAGCUGCGGGCGACAGUCAACCUGCCGAAUCAAGUUCCCCGCCCGUAGCACCGAGUGCCCCCCGGGAUCAGCGCCAGCAACGGCCACGUGGAGAGGGCGAUGGCUGCAGAAGCGGCGCACGCGCUAGUGAUCUCGCGCCGCCAGAUGACUCCGACGACAGCAGUGAUGAAGGCACGUCUAUGACGACCACCACUGACAGCAACGACGGCGACGACAGCAGCGCCAUCGGCGGUGCUCGAGGUGGUGGGCAAGAGCACACAAACACCGGCGUAACACCCGACUUCAUUGGCAUCAUCAUUACCCAUUGCACCGGCGAUCCAGACUAUCCGAUAGCGUCCCUCAUGCGCGAUGUCGAGUGGCGUGCCGCGCGGCAACGACGCCGCAAGCGAGUUGAAGCCCUGACACGCCGCCUGUCCCUCCUCCUCCCACAGAUGAGGGACAGCUACCGCGCGCACGAAAUUUACCACGACUAUCACGCCAUGGAGCAGCUGCUUUACGCCGCACCGCUUCUCCCACUGCAGGAGGCAUCAGAUGGAUUCGCGACCGCGGUAACCGCACUCCUGUCCGAUGUGGACGAGGACGGGGUGCCGAUCUGCAUGCACGACACGGUGGAGGCAGCACGCAUCGCCGUAGCGAGGCAGAUGGACAGCGAAAACUGCAGUGGUGUAAGCGGGCACAGCAGCAGCGGGCACGAGGGAAACAAUCCCUCGUAGUCAUUGUCCACGACUACCAGCACCCGCUCUCUGCACGUGUGUGGAGCCGGUGAGUGAGUGUGUGUGUGUGUGUGUGUGUGUGUUUCUCUGUCGGCUCUCGCUGCCUUUGCAUACGUGAGGCACAUACGCACCGAACGACCCCAUGAGAGGGAAGAGGAGGACGGCUCUGAAGAGCACAUUCUCGGCACUUCAUCCAUAUGUCCUCUCUCCCAUUCAAUGGGGAGUUCUUCUGCGCACUUCGCGUGGGCCCCCAUCGCAGCAUCACCGAGACUACAAGAGGGGCGCAUCAGCGAAGAAACCCUUCGCUUUCUGUCCACCUCUCGCCUCUCAUUUCACCGUCAGCUCCUCCCUCUCCUGCACAAAGGGAGCACACGCACAUACAUGGAUGCGCGCGCGCUAUCAUGCCUGCUACCGUACACCCACCGUCACAGAUUCCAGCCACGCUGGAGAGGUGGACGAUGGAGAAGAGGAGAAGGAGAGGCGGGAUGUCAUUCUACGUGAAGUCAGCAAGGAAACGCGCGCGCUCUUUGCCUCGCCAGCAAGGAUCGUCCUUGUCCGACUCCCUCUCCCGUCACUGCGGUGUGCGCGUGCCGUGCUGCCUCCUCGGGUUGGCGGAGAAGCGGGGGGUGGAGUACGUGUGUGAGGCGCGAAAGGGCACUCAAGCAAAUGCGAGAGCGGCCGUCGUCGUGGCGGUGGCGGUGCUGGAACGAACAAGCGGUAGCGGCACGGCCCCACGCAUGUUUGUGUGCGGACGUCGCUGUAUGCUAAGAUCGAGGACGUGCACAGGACGCCAGAUGAAGAAAGCGCAUGGAAUGGGGCAGACUUCGAAGCAUAUACGUGUAAAGAGGUGAUGUGAACGAAGACGGGGCAGUGCUUCUGCCGGCGUUGAUCCGGCAGAUCCUUCUUCAUACCGCCCUCCCUUCGAGCUUUCCGUGUGUUUGCCUUGCAUCCCGUACCCGAUCCCCCUCCCAAAGUCGGCGAUUUUGUUUCAAAACUCUUCGCGCUUGCUCAGUAUGCGGACAUGUGUGCAAGACUGCUUUCUCUCUUUAGUGGUAGUGGUAGUGGGGGGGGGAGGGAAGAGGCUGAGGAGGGGGGUGUACGCGCCGCCGUGCUUCCCCCACACACGCAUACAGAGAGACCUUGCUCUCUCUCUAUCCGUGCCUCCAUCAAUGCGCGUGUGUCUGUCUCACCAACUGCACAGCAACACCUCACUGGAGAGGGAGGAUAGAGCAGCGCAGGCACACACCGAUGGAAAAGAAGCCAGCUCGUGCGUUCUCUCUGUCUCGCUCGCUUCGUUUGCUGUGUUCGUUGUAUUGCGCGUGCCUGCACUCAGGCAUGCAUGUAUUCUCUGCGUGUGUGGAGGACGGGGGAAGGUCAGACAUGCGCCUCGCCCACUUUUGAAGUGCUGUGUAGUGAUGAAUGCUGAUGCAUGGCACACCCUGCACGAAAUACGCACAAGGAGCGGCACGACCGACACACGAGGUCCGCGAUGGAGGGGUAAACGUGAAGGAGAUGGACGUUUGUGGCGACAAGCACAAAAAAAAAACACGCAUGCACACACUUGC
This 3181-nucleotide unclassified non-coding RNA is filed under the name Leishmania donovani. RNAcentral's name for it is "gene:LdHU3.09.0760(CDS-product:hypothetical_prote in_conserved)". The record is from RNAcentral. Lineage: Eukaryota; Euglenozoa; Kinetoplastea; Trypanosomatida; Trypanosomatidae.